UACGUAGGGUGCAAGCGUUAAUCGGAAUUACUGGGCGUAAAGGGCGUGUAGGCGGGACGGUAAGUCGGGCGUGAAAUCCCUAGGCUCAACCUAGGAACUGCACUCGAAACUACCAUUCUUGAGUGUCGGAGAGGAAAGCGGAAUUCCUGGUGUAGAGGUGAAAUUCGUAGAUAUCAGGAGGAACACCAGUGGCGAAGGCGGCUUUCUGGACGAUAACUGACGCUGAGACGCGAAAGCGUGGGGAGCAAACAGG
This 253-nucleotide ribosomal RNA is filed under the name uncultured bacterium. Its description in RNAcentral is "partial 16S ribosomal RNA". It matches the Rfam family "Bacterial small subunit ribosomal RNA", at positions 524 to 776 of the family's 1533-position model. The record is from RNAcentral.